RNAcentral lists this long non-coding RNA (241 nucleotides) under Mytilus galloprovincialis (Mediterranean mussel). Lineage: Eukaryota; Metazoa; Mollusca; Bivalvia; Mytilida; Mytilidae. The record is from RNAcentral.
AAAAAUACUAUUUGAAACAGUUUAAUUUCUGGGCAAUUUCGGUCAAAAAUUGAUUUAAAAAAGUGAAUAUUUCGGGAUUUUUCAAAAUGGCGGAUGAUGUAUAUGGAAAUGGGGUCUCUAAAAACACCGCAAAGGACCUUCUUUGUGCACAAAGGAACACUAAGGACCCCAAAGAAGUUUGUUAAGGGCACAAAGGACCUGAAAUUCCCUUUAAAGCAUAUAAAUAUUAUUAUUCCUGAAG